CCUACGGGGGGCAGCAGUGGGGAAUAUUGCGCAAUGGGGGAAACCCUGACGCAGCAACGCCGCGUGAAUGAAGAAGGCCUUAGGGUUGUAAAGUUCUGUUUUCUGGGACGAUAAUGACGGUACCAGAGGAGGAAGCCACGGCUAACUACGUGCCAGCAGCCGCGGUAAUACGUAGGUGGCAAGCGUUGUCCGGAUUUACUGGGCGUAAAGGAUGCGUAGGCGGAUGUUUAAGUGAGAUGUGAAAUACCCGAGCUCAACUUGGGUGCUGCAUUUCAAACUGGAUAUCUAGAGUGCAGGAGAGGAAAGCGGAAUUCCUAGUGUAGCGGUGAAAUGCGUAGAGAUUAGGAAGAACACCAGUGGCGAAGGCGGCUUUCUGGACUGUAACUGACGCUGAGGCAUGAAAGCGUGGGGAGCAAACAGGAUUAGAUACCCUGGUAGUC
This 440-nucleotide ribosomal RNA is filed under the name uncultured bacterium. Its description in RNAcentral is "bacterial SSU rRNA". It matches the Rfam family "Bacterial small subunit ribosomal RNA", at positions 338 to 795 of the family's 1533-position model. The record is from RNAcentral.